Molecule: non-coding RNA, 165 nt
Organism: Anopheles gambiae str. PEST
Lineage: Eukaryota; Metazoa; Arthropoda; Insecta; Diptera; Culicidae
Rfam family: drz-agam-2-2 ribozyme
Source: Rfam
GCAAUCUUUGCCUCAAAAGAUUGCCGACCGCUGCUCUACAAGGUUCACAUAGGCUCUCUACCUCCUACUCCUACUCAAUACAUCCCCGUCGUACGAAACGGUAAGAUGUUUCUACCCAAAACCCAAGUCUUUGGGCGGAUGGGUUGCAUGGGUAAAUUAAGAGCG